Molecule: ribosomal RNA, 496 nt
Filed under: uncultured bacterium
Lineage: Bacteria
Description: partial 16S ribosomal RNA
Rfam family: Bacterial small subunit ribosomal RNA
Source: RNAcentral
GAUGAACGCUGGCGGCGUGCCUAAUACAUGCAAGUCGAGCGAACAGACGAGGAGCUUGCUCCUCUGACGUUAGCGGCGGACGGGUGAGUAACACGUGGAUAACCUACCUAUAAGACUGGGAUAACUUCGGGAAACCGGAGCUAAUACCGGAUAAUAUAUUGAACCGCAUGGUUCAAUAGUGAAAGACGGUUUUGCUGUCACUUAUAGAUGGAUCCGCGCCGCAUUAGCUAGUUGGUAAGGUAACGGCUUACCAAGGCAACGAUGCGUAGCCGACCUGAGAGGGUGAUCGGCCACACUGGAACUGAGACACGGUCCAGACUCCUACGGGAGGCAGCAGUAGGGAAUCUUCCGCAAUGGGCGAAAGCUUGACGGAGCAACGCCGCGUGAGUGAUGAAGGUCUUCGGAUCGUAAAACUCUGUUAUUAGGGAAGAACAAAUGUGUAAGUAACUAUGCACGUCUGGACGGUACCUAAGCAGAAAGCCACGGCUAACUACGU